GAUGAAGAACGUAGUGAAAUGCGAUACUUGGUGUGAAUUGCAGAAUCCCGUGAACCAUCGAGUCUUUGAACGCAAGUUGCGCCCGAAGCCACUAGGCCGAGGGCACGCCUGCCUGGGCGUCACACGUCGUUGCCCCCCCAUCUACUCCUUCGGGAUUGCGGGGGGGCGGAUGAUGGCCUCCCGUGCGCCUAGCCGCGCGGUUGGCAUAAAUACCAAGUCCUCGGCGACGCACGCCACGACAAUCGGUGGUUGCGAAACCUCGGUUGCCCGUCGUGUGCGUUCGUCGCGCAUCGAGGGCUCGAAAAAAUGCUCGGCUCCGGCUGGGCUUUCAACGCGACCCCAGGUCAGGCGGGGUUACCCGCUGAAUUUAAGCAUAUCAAUAAGCGGAGG
RNAcentral lists this unclassified non-coding RNA (390 nucleotides) under soil metagenome. Its description in RNAcentral is "partial contains 5.8S ribosomal RNA, internal transcribed spacer 2, and large subunit ribosomal RNA". The stretch from base 1 to 122 matches the Rfam family "5.8S ribosomal RNA", at positions 35 to 154 of the family's 154-position model. The record is from RNAcentral.